This is a long non-coding RNA of Dermochelys coriacea (leatherback sea turtle), 3614 nucleotides long. RefSeq lists it as uncharacterized. Lineage: Eukaryota; Metazoa; Chordata; Testudines; Dermochelyidae. The transcript has 3 exons. The record is from RefSeq and is a predicted model, not a curated record.
AGCAGGGCGGCGCCAUGACGACAUCACAGCGCGCCAAGUGGAUGACGUCACAACCCGGGGGGGGCCGUGCUGGGCUGCCCACGACAUCAAAGCCGGGGAAUGCUGCGUCGAUCAUGACAUCACAGCGCGCCAAGUGGAUGACGUCACAACCCGGGGGGGGCCGUGCUGGGCUGCCCACGACAUCAAAGCCGGGGAAUGCUGCGUCGAUCAUGACAUCACAGCGCGCCAAGUGGAUGACGUCACAACCCGGGGGGGCCGUGCUGGGCUGCCCACGACAUCAAAGCCGGGGAAUGCUGCGUCGAUCAUGACAUCACAGCGCGCCAAGUGAAUGACGUCACAGCCUGGGGGGGGUACUGCGCCCCCCAUUCCUGACCUCACACUGGGGAAAUGCUGCAUUGAGCAUGGCCCUGCACCAUGGUAGUGCUGUGGUGUUCAUGACAACACAGUGCCAUGCUGUGCAUGAUACCGCAUUGUGUGGGUGCCGCAUUGUGUCUGACAUCACAAUCAAGGACACCACAUUGUGACUUCACAAUGCAGGAUGUGUUAGAAACAGCCCGGCUGGAACUCAUUGCAGAAUCAGACACUAAGAUGGGACAUGAUAACUGACUACAGCUUGCAAACACCAAGCAAGAGGAGGAAUUAUUUAGGGUGGUACACAGAGAAACAACUGAAAGUGAUUAGGUGAAAUUAGGAGGGUUAACUUAGGCCGAAUAUCAGGAAACACUUCCUGACAGUGAGAUGUACUGGGUUGUGGAAUAGUCUCCCAAAGGAAGUGUGAAAGCCUCAUUGCUCUGGACUUUUAAAAUUGGAUCAUAAAAGAAAAGGAGUACUUGUGGCACCUUAAGAGCAGCUGCCCUAACAAUUCUUUCUCUUCUCUAAUAUAAUAUUAUGAUGACGAUAAUAAGCAAUCAAUCUCAUAUACAGUGAUUUUCAUCCAUAGAUCUCAAAGCAAAUUGUGUAUAUGAUUAACAAGUGGGUUUUUUUACCUGUGAAAGCUUAUGCCCAAAUAAAUCUGUUACUCUUUACGUUUCCACCGGACUCCUUAAUAUUAGUUUUAAAACCUCAAAUUACAAACCCUUUGUAAAAACCGUUGAUAAUUUUUAUUCAUGAGUUUCCAAUAAGUAGGCAAAACUACAGCACCCAGAAGGGAAAAUUCUCUCUCUUCAGAAACAGCACAGAAAAUAAAGGUAGAACAUGACAUGGGAAAAAUAACACAGAAAAAAUAAAAAAAGAACCCAAAUUUUGGUGAUAAAAGGCUUCAUACUGCUCCCAAUGAAAUCAACAGCAGAGAGCAGGAUUGGGUCCAUCGUCCAUAGUCCACCAGGUUGGUUAAGGGGAAGAAUAGAUAUACUAAUGUAUUUUAAUAACAAAUUCAGCUGUAUACAUAAAAAUAAAUCAAAAAUAAAAACAGCAGUUAAAUGUUUCCUACCUUUUGUACCUAGUCUCAUAUCCCUUGCUCAGUUAUAGCUGCCUAUAAUUUUAAAGUUUGCAUUGGGCUACUAAAACUAAAGUACAAACUUUAGAAUCAAAGGACUCAAAGUUCAGUUUUGUAUCAGUAAACUCCCUUUCUAAUCGAUGGCCGUUACUUGCACUCGUUUUCAGAUGGUGCUUGCCAAAAAAUUGUGAGCUUUUGCUUUUUGAAAAACAGUGCUAUAUAAGACAUUUAUUUUGUAGUGCUUAAUUAUAAGGACAAAUAAGAAUUUUUUAUGUCUACAUUUUUGACGUUUGUUCCCUAAGAAAUUAUAAGAUUUUCCUUUUUUUGCCACUUAUGUAAUAGACUAUAAGGGUUAAAAUUCUGUUAAUAUUACCAAAUGAAUACUAGCCAUGCGACCUACUACAUAGCUAGAACUUAGGAAGGCUUUAGAGACCAUAUUCUUCACAGUUCUUUGCAACCACCAAGAUAAUGGCAACAUAAUUUCUGCAGGAGAUGGACAAUUUAAAUAUGUGACCCUAAAGAAAUGAGGAGUUCAGCCAUAAAGUAGGUACAGAAGACAUUUCCAAAUGUGGAAUCAGUUACCACAGAGUCAUUGCAAUGCUGGGUGGAAGAAAAGCCAGAGGAAUUAAUCAUUCUUGACACCUGGAGUGCAGCUGAAUUUGAAGUCAGCCAGCUGCCGGGGCAAUACUCAUUGACCCUCAGAGUGAUACACUGCAAGAAUUUCUGCAGAAACAGCUCCUUCCAGAGCGUGAAUGAGUUCUUGUCAAGUGAAGCUGGCCAAACCCCCAAAACUUCCCUGCAUGUUUAUAAUGCAGAAGGAGGACUGGCAAAAUGGGCCAGUGAAAGAAGGCUGAUGGUGGACAAGCAGGAGCAUCCCAUUCACCUCGUUCACCCCUACAGUACAGCAUGGGCAAAACUACUGGAACCAGAGCUGCAAGCACAGAUCUAAAGCAUUUCCGCAAGUCUGAUCUAACUGGGGCCUCUAGGUGAAAUACAAAUUAAUAAUAAGAAUAAAAAUUAAUAGGUGCCCCAACCUCAACUGUGUUUUGUAGGCAUAACCAUAAUGCUACUAAUAGAGGAUUACAAUAUGUAUUGUAGUUGUUUUAAUUGGUGGGCAGAACUGGCUAAAGAUACUAAGCUAGCUUUUCAGCUGGUCUAAAGUGGAGUAGGAACUGAAGUCAAGUCAGAUAUGACAAUUUACACCAGUUAGACUGAAAUCUAGAUUAACAAAGAGCACAGGACAAUACAGAAUCCAUCCGCAGUCUGGUGAAAAGGGAGAAGUCCUGGCAAAUGCUGGGAACAAGGUUAUUGUGCCAAAGCAUAAGAAAUGUAAUAAAGAUACAUCAGUUCUCCUCUUACGCCAAGAUGGAACAGAACACUUCAGCUUUAUGAACCUUUUCCUUCAGUCUCCCGGUCUAUCACUCUGACACCUAUCAUAAGCAUCUUUUAAAAAAUAAUAUCUAAUAAAAAAAACACAGAUAGAAUCCCACGGUCCAAAUCAUGACAAAUGGUAAAGCAAAGCACUGCAUUUUUAGCAUCUCUGUUACUGUUUAAAUUUGCUGGUGGAGUCCUGUAUUCAACAGAUAGCUUGUCUAGAUGCAUCUAAUCUUUCUGGGAAUAACAGCUGGGCCAGUCACAUAGGUAAAGAGAAAGAGUGCCGGCUGGAGAUGCACAGUAACUGGUAAAUAAAAUGCUAUGAUUAAGUAAGAUUAUUUCCUGCUGGUGAGUUAGGUUCUAAACAUAUAUAAGCUCACCCACAUAUGAUGAAAAUAAUUUUAAAUUCUUGGUCCUUGCAAAGGUGAUGCACAAAUAGUUACAGUUUCAUGGAGGCCUAAAUAAAUAUUUGGGAAGAAGUAUAAACCCGCUCUUUAACUGCAAUCUAACCAACCUGUCGGUGCUUAUUAUUUGCUCAAUUGCUGUAUAAUCUUGCUGGCAGCUCUGAAAUCCUUCGGAAGCAUUUCUAAAUAUACACACCUCUCACCUUGGUUACUGGACUUUUUAGGCAAGUGAAAAUAGCACAUCACUUUUUGAACCUCUGUCUUUUCCUAGACCACUUUAUUUUAAAAGUAGCUGUUGACUUAUUUUAAAUAGUCGAAUAUGCAGUACUACAGCCAAAAGAAAUCUGAAACAGUUAUUAUAAUUUCUGAGGUGCCUGAUCUUGUAGUUUUACUCUGGCAAA